UCUCUCUCUCUCUUUCGGUCUCUCCCUUCCGUUAUUAUCAAUAGAGAGAGAAGAGAUAUCGCAGAAGCCAAAGAAGAUGGAUUCUACAACAACCGCUGGUGUUGGUGGGGAAGAUACAAUCAGUGGGAUCGAUCUCUCUUCUUCGGUGGUCUCGCAAUGGACGGCCACGAUCUCCCGCCGCUACCAGCACCUCCUUGACAAGUCGACCCCUCACGUGCUCCGGCGGUGGACUGCAUUCGGUGCAAUCGCUCUUCUCUACGUCCUUCGCGUCUACCUCAUCCAGGGCUUCUACAUCGUCUCCUACGGCCUCGGCAUCUACAUCCUCAACCUCCUCAUCGCCUUCCUCUCCCCGCAGGUGGACCCCGAGAUCCAGGAGCUCGUCGACGGGCCCACCCUCCCCACGCGCGGCUCAGACGAAUUCCGCCCGUUCGUUCGCCGCCUCCCUGAAUUCAAGUUCUGGUACUCCAUAACAAAAGCCUUCUGCAUUGCUUUCGUGAUGACUUUCUUCAGCGUGUUUGAUGUGCCUGUAUUUUGGCCAAUCCUUCUCUUCUACUGGCUGAUGCUGUUCAUGCUCACAAUGAAGAGACAGAUCAAGCACAUGAUCAAAUACAAAUAUGUCCCCUUCUCCUUUGGCAAACAGCGCUACACAGGGAAGAAACCAGCUUCACCCAACAAUGCAAGCCUUCCUAGGGAUUGAACUUUCGUGCAGGUUGACAUAAUGCUGAUCAUACACCUACAUGCACAUGGACACAUCAUACACCUACAUGGACACAUGAUCCAUCUCAUCAGGGUAAGUUGGAAGGUCCAUGGUGAGAUAAAGCAUGGGGGAGAGGAGGUUUUUUAUGCAUUGUUCUUUAUCUUUUCAUUUUCUCUUCUUUUCUUUUCUUUUCUUUUCUUCUUCUUCUUCUUCUUCUUUUUUGGCUUAAUUUAAGAAUUUGUUAAAUAUCAAGUGCGACAGUGAUAAUUGUUUUGUAGCAUGCACACACAUUAACAACAGGGAAUGCCUAGCAAGCAAAAAAAGAAAGAAGAUGAACAUAACCCUUGUUGUUGCUGAAUGCCAUGAUAUUAAGAACCAUUGGCAUUCUGAGGAACCAGUGGACUUACUGUAGAGGAUUUCUAAACCUGUAUAGGUGGAAUUUUACUGA
This is an RNA transcript of Magnolia sinica, 1145 nucleotides long. It is a transcript of the gene named protein RER1A-like, with no coding region annotated. The record is from RefSeq and is a predicted model, not a curated record. NCBI's taxonomy places the organism in Eukaryota, Viridiplantae, Streptophyta, Magnoliopsida, Magnoliales, Magnoliaceae. The transcript is spliced from 4 exons.